AUUAAAAAAAAAAAAAUUAUUGAAGAGAAAGAAAAAGAUUUGACAGAGGAAGGCACGAGUGCAAGACUGAAUGAAUAUUUUGUGCGGAAAAGGUGGAUAUAAUAAUAUAAAGCCCAGAUUCCCUUCCACGGCUGACAGUCUGUAUGUCUCAUUCAUAGCGUGGCUCUGUUUCUGCUUCAUAGCCUCACUCUCACUAUCUCUUCUUUUUCAGCUCUCCACUCUGCCAUUGCCAAUAUGCCCAUGGCUUUCCUCCUUCAAUCUGGCUGGCUGUAUUUGAUUACACAUUUCAGUGACUUUCAGCUGGCGUGCCUAGGAAGCUUUUUUCUUCAUGAAAGUGUCUUCUUCUUAUCUGGACUUCCCUUUAUAUAUAUUGAAAGGGCAGGUUGGCUGAGCAAGUACAAGAUUCAGACCAAAAACAACAGUCCUGCUGCCCAAGAGAAAUGCAUUACUCGCCUACUUUUAUAUCAUUUUGGUGUCAAUCUACCGGUUAUGCUAUUCUCAUACCCUGUAUUCAAAUACAUGGGCAUGCGAAGUAGUCUUCCAUUGCCGUCCUGGAAAGUAGUUCUAAUGCAGAUAAUAUUCUACUUCAUCCUGGAAGAUUUUAUCUUCUACUGGGGUCAUCGGAUUCUGCAUACAAAGUGGCUGUAUAAGAAUGUGCAUAGUGUCCACCAUGAAUAUGCUACACCAUUUGGACUGACAUCUGAAUAUGCUCACCCUGCUGAGAUACUGUUCCUUGGAUUUGCUACUAUUAUUGGUCCUGCCAUCACUGGUCCCCAUCUGAUAACUUUGUGGCUAUGGAUGGUUCUGAGAGUUCUGGAGACAGUUGAAGCACACUGUGGUUACCACUUCCCAUGGAGCCUUUCCAACUUUAUACCUUUGUAUGGGGGGUGAGUUUCUUUUCUUGCUGGUAUGAUUAUCUCUGAAGGUGUAUGUUUAAUGCCCAUUUUUAUCGUUGUUUCUGACAUUUUUCCUUCAUCAAAUCUUAGUGCUGAUUUCCAUGACUAUCACCACCGCUUGCUAUAUACUAAAUCUGGAAACUACUCAUCUACUUUUGUCUAUAUGGACUGGAUUUUUGGCACCGAUAAGGGUUACAGAAAAUUGAAGGGACUGAAGAGUACUGGAGUUGAAAAUGGCGGCAAGCAAAUGUAAUGUUAGAGAAGAUUCUUUUUAUAUUAGCUUGACAUCAGAAAAUGAAUUCCAGAUAUCACAACGCUUUUGAAAGUUAUUUGUCCUUUGCCUUCUGCCUUUUUCGUGUAUGCAACCGCGCUUUUUUGUUUAGUUGAUUUUCAUGUUACAGCGUGUGGUACUGUGGAUCCGUGGAAAGCUUUCUUUGGAAAUUCUAUGUUCUCUUCCGUUCAUGAAUGAAGUUGCUGUCCCAUUAUGAGCUUUUCUAUUCUGAAAUGAUGCAUCGUAUGUGCCUCUAUCCAUGCUAUGCCGUAGACUAAUUUUAUUACUGUCUUGCAGAUGCUUUUUCCUGAAUAAUUUGAGUUAUGAAAAGGACCCAGCUAAUUGAGUCGGCUUCAUAUGUCAGUGGAAUGUUAAUAUACUUUUUGGCAGCUAGACAUCGGUUGUUGUUUUUUCAUAUUUUGUUUUAAUCUCCAUAACGGGCAGUUAAUCUCAUAAUUUGUAUGAAUAUGAGAUCGAUAAACAAGGCACCAUUAAUUUUGGACUUCCCCAAGUGUAUUUCUUUAGUCUUUGCCCAGCCCAAGGGUGUUUUUGUAAGUGGAAAAUGGAGAAAUUUUCUAGAUGGCUUGAAAUUCUUCCAUGCAUAUGGAGUUAGGUUUUUCCAACUGCAGAUUUGCUAACUGAUGUGCUAUGGCUAGUCAAACCUAAAAGUCAAAUUUGACGCAGAAUUUCCAGUAAGAAGCUUGAGAAAUUGACAUUUGAUGUUUUGUUCCUGUAAAACGACAUUUAUGCUAAAAAAAGCAUCCCUUUAAUAUCGCGGAA
This 1947-nucleotide unclassified non-coding RNA is filed under the name Hevea brasiliensis (rubber tree). Lineage: Eukaryota; Viridiplantae; Streptophyta; Magnoliopsida; Malpighiales; Euphorbiaceae. The record is from RNAcentral.